RNAcentral lists this long non-coding RNA (712 nucleotides) under Manacus vitellinus (golden-collared manakin). RNAcentral describes it as "lncRNA (ENSMVIG00005014372.1)". The record is from RNAcentral. Lineage: Eukaryota; Metazoa; Chordata; Aves; Passeriformes; Pipridae.
GCUCUUUUCUAUGACAUAAACAGCAGGGUGCUGAAUCCAGCAAGGGAGUUGCAUUUUGCGUAGCUGUCAACAAGUCAAGCCUCAUCAGACCUCUCACUGAAACACUCAAAAAUGAAGAGGGCUUCACCAGGAUUUGCAAUGUGCAACGCACAGGUCCCUCUGCUUUGAGUACAAGAGAGACAGCUGUGAAGAAAGAGGAGCUCUGUAAUUGCAUCAUGCCCAGAGAGAGGCAUCAAUAAGCAGAAACAAUGUCAUCCCUACUACUUCUGUACAUCCGGCUUCAUACGCGCUUGAAACACUGAUGAUGGUGAAGGCUGUGGGCAGUGGCAGGAUGAAGCAGACACCAGGACUUCGCUCACCCACCAAGCUGGAUGUGCCUGUGCUGAUAUCCUGGGGCAGAGCAUCCUAAAGAGCUCUGCAAGGGGAAGAGAACACAGCAAAGUCCAGGAGGUGACAGCAAGGAGCUUGGUUCAUGCUGUUCUUAGGCAGAAGGGCUUCUGCAUGCAAGAGAGAAUCACAUGGUGGGGUAAGAGCACUCCUGCUCCCCUGCAUCCACUCUCCCGGUUCCCUCUCCUUCCACAGACUUGCAUUCAUACUUGACCUUUUCACUUAACUCUUACUCCAUGGUGAGCACGGAAGUAGUUUGCCUCACGACAACAUUCAUAGAGAGUACUGUGCAUUUCAGAACCACUGAGGAGAGAGCACUGACUAC